GUAGGGAAUCUUCCACAAUGGGCGCAAGCCUGAUGGAGCAACACCGCGUGAGUGAAGAAGGGUUUCGGCUCGUAAAGCUCUGUUGUUAAAGAAGAACACGUAUGAGAGUAACUGUUCAUGCGUUGACGGUAUUUAACCAGAAAGUCACGGCUAACUACGUGCCAGCAGCCGCGGUAAUACGUAGGUGGCAAGCGUUACCCGGAUUUAUUGGGCGUAAAGAGAGUGCAGGCGGUUUUCUAAGUCUGAUGUGAAAGCCUUCGGCUUAACCGGAGAAGUGCAUCGGAAACUGGAUAACUUGAGUGCAGAAGAGGGUAGUGGAACUCCAUGUGUAGCGGUGGAAUGCGUAGAUAUAUGGAAGAACACCAGUGGCGAAGGCGGCUACCUGGUCUGCAACUGACGCUGAGACUCGAAAGCAUGGGUAGCGAACAGGAUUAGAAACCCGGGUAGUCC
Molecule: ribosomal RNA, 450 nt
Filed under: uncultured bacterium
Lineage: Bacteria
Description: partial 16S ribosomal RNA
Rfam family: Bacterial small subunit ribosomal RNA
Source: RNAcentral